RNAcentral lists this ribosomal RNA (465 nucleotides) under uncultured bacterium. RNAcentral describes it as "partial 16S ribosomal RNA". It matches the Rfam family "Bacterial small subunit ribosomal RNA", at positions 338 to 795 of the family's 1533-position model. The record is from RNAcentral.
CCUACGGGAGGCAGCAGUAGGGAAUCUUCCACAAUGGGCGAAAGCCUGAUGGAGCAACGCCGCGUGGGUGAAGAAGGUCUUCGGAUCGUAAAACCCUGUUGUUAGAGAAGAAAGUGCGUGAGAGUAACUGUUCACGUUUCGACGGUAUCUAACCAGAAAGCCACGGCUAACUACGUGCCAGCAGCCGCGGUAAUACGUAGGUGGCAAGCGUUAUCCGGAUUUAUUGGGCGUAAAGGGAACGCAGGCGGUCUGUUAAGUCUGAUGUGAAAGCCUUCGGCUUAACCGGAGUAGUGCAUUGGAAACUGGGGGGCUUGAGUGCAGUAGAGGAGAGGGGAACUCCAGGUGUAGCGGUGAAAUGCGUAGAUAUAUGGAAGAACACCAGUGGCGAAAGCGGCUCUCUGGUCUGUAACUGACGCUGAGGUUCGAAAGCGUGGGUAGCAAACAGGAUUAGAUACCCCGGUAGUC